This 395-nucleotide small RNA is filed under the name uncultured Glomeromycotina. Its description in RNAcentral is "eukaryotic LSU rRNA". The record is from RNAcentral. Lineage: Eukaryota; Fungi; Glomeromycota.
AGAGUUAAACAGUAUGUGAAAUUGUUGAAAGGGAAACGAUUGAAGUCAGUCGUGCGGCACCAACUCAACGGUGACGUAAGGUAAAUCCUACUUGGCGGCGAGCUUCAAAACCGCCACCUUGUAGGAUUUGCCUCACGUCGCCGCGUAUUUUGGCGUCUGCUGGUUAGCGUCAAUUUCGAUUGUCAUAAAAAGGCUGGGGGGAUGUGGCUCCUUCGGGAGUGUUAUAACCCUUAGCGGAAUGUGGCGAUCGGGAUUGAGGUUUGCAACUGAAAUUCAGCCUGGCCUCUCGUUGGCGUUUAGGCGGCGACAGCUUGCUGACGACGUUUGGAUUUGCUGGCGAAUAGGUUAGAGCGGAAUGAAAGUUAAGGAUGCUAACGUAAUGGCUUUAAACGACC